RNAcentral lists this transfer RNA (76 nucleotides) under Lentisphaerae bacterium GWF2_45_14. RNAcentral describes it as "tRNA-Thr". It matches the Rfam family "tRNA". From Rfam's summary of the family: Transfer RNA (tRNA) molecules are approximately 80 nucleotides in length. Their secondary structure includes four short double-helical elements and three loops (D, anti-codon, and T loops). Lineage: Bacteria; Pseudomonadati; Lentisphaerota. The record is from RNAcentral.
GCCCACAUAGCUCAGAUGGUAGAGCACGUCCUUGGUAAGGACGAGGUCACCGGUUCAAUUCCGGUUGUGGGCUCCA